RNAcentral lists this ribosomal RNA (494 nucleotides) under uncultured bacterium. RNAcentral describes it as "bacterial SSU rRNA". It matches the Rfam family "Bacterial small subunit ribosomal RNA", at positions 791 to 1289 of the family's 1533-position model. The record is from RNAcentral.
UAGUCCACGCCGUAAACGAUGUUCACUCGCUGUUUGCAAUACACAGUAAGCGGCUGAGCGAAAGCAUUAAGUGAACCACCUGGGGAGUACGAUCGCAAGGUUGAAACUCAAAGGAAUUGACGGGGGCCCGCACAAGCGGAGGAACAUGUGGUUUAAUUCGAUGAUACGCGAGGAACCUUACCUGGGCUUAAAUGUAGAUUGCAUAGAUUAGAGAUAGUCUUUUACUUCGGUACUAUCUACAAGGUGCUGCAUGGUUGUCGUCAGCUCGUGCCGUGAGGUGUCGGGUUAAGUCCCAUAACGAGCGCAACCCCUAUCGUUAGUUGCUAGCAGGUAAUGCUGAGGACUCUAGCGAGACUGCCACCGUAAGGUGAGAGGAAGGUGGGGAUGACGUCAAAUCAGCACGGCCCUUAUGUCCAGGGCAACACACGUGCUACAAUGGUGGUGACAGUGGGCAGCGAGACGGCAACGUCGAGCUAAUCUCCAAAAACCAUCUC